RNAcentral lists this non-coding RNA (119 nucleotides) under Ilyobacter polytropus. RNAcentral describes it as "FMN sequence". It matches the Rfam family "FMN riboswitch aptamer (RFN element)". From Rfam's summary of the family: The RFN element is a highly conserved domain that is found frequently in the 5'-untranslated regions of prokaryotic mRNAs that encode for flavin mononucleotide (FMN) biosynthesis and transport proteins. This element is a metabolite-dependent riboswitch that directly binds FMN in the absence of proteins. RNAcentral also lists the same sequence under 1 other name. The record is from RNAcentral. Lineage: Bacteria; Fusobacteriati; Fusobacteriota; Fusobacteriia; Fusobacteriales; Fusobacteriaceae.
AGGAAUCUUCAGGGCAGGGUGAAAUUCCCGACCGGCGGUGACAGUCCGCGAAGGCCAUAGGGCCUUGAUCUGGUGUAAUUCCAGAACCGACAGUAAAGUCUGGAUGGGAGAAGGAGAUU